This is a long non-coding RNA of Leptopilina boulardi, 739 nucleotides long. RefSeq lists it as uncharacterized. The transcript is spliced from 3 exons. Lineage: Eukaryota; Metazoa; Arthropoda; Insecta; Hymenoptera; Figitidae. The record is from RefSeq and is a predicted model, not a curated record.
GCGCAGCGUUGUUUCGACAUUUUUUUUUAGCUAAACUAUUUAUUCAGUGACGUCCGGACAAUUUUUUCUUUCCAUCAGGACACAUUCAAUUAAAAAUUCUCAAAAUAUAGCCAAAUUUAACCAUUUGGAGACGUGUAGCAUAAUCUAUAAAAGUUAGAUUUUUCUCUCCGUGUAGGACAGGUGUACGGAAAAAUCGCCUUUUUGUACGUCAGAGUGGGGAUGAGUUCGAUCUUUAGAAAUGCGGUAUAUGAAUUUUCGUUAGUAUACAAAUGCCAGUCUUGAAAGAUAUAGAGGCAAAAUAAAAUUAUUAAAACGCACUUGUUUCUACUUUGCGGUUUUUGAAGCAUAAUAAUUUACAUAAAUCAUCAAAAAAUUGUUAUUAAAAGAAUGCACAAAAAAAUGAAUGGAAUCAAUUGCAUUGUUACAUUGAUAACUUUUAUACAAAUAUUCCAAUAUCACAUUAUUGAUGGCAUAUUAGAAACUGAAACACAAAUUGACAGAAAAUAUUUACUUGAAGUAAAAUGGAGUUUAAAUUAUGAAAGAGAAACAACAGCGCUACAAGAACUACUAUUUCAAAAUCCUCCAAAAUCAUUUACAUUCAAUUUAAAAAAUGAAGAUUAUCCAAAAAAUUUGCGCAUUCAUUUGAAAUGUAUGAAAAAUCUUGACAGCGACAGAUAUAUUGUAGUAUCUGUUGAAAGUGACGAUGAUGAACAGAAUAAAAAUAAAAUUUUGAAUAAAA